This 224-nucleotide long non-coding RNA is filed under the name Cyanistes caeruleus (blue tit). RNAcentral's name for it is "lncRNA (ENSCCEG00000019560.1)". The record is from RNAcentral. Lineage: Eukaryota; Metazoa; Chordata; Aves; Passeriformes; Paridae.
CACAGAACUGCCAGAUAGGGAAGGAUAGAUCUUACCUGGCACCUAUAUCUCUUGGAAGCUGGCCUUUCUCCAAACAAUUGUGUUCUCCUGAGAAAAACUCUCUGUUAUUUGUGAGAGCCAGAUUUCAAAUAGCCAGCUGGCUGCCACUCCACAGGAAGCAGAAGAAAAGAGAAGCAGCAAGUGAAGGCUCAAAAGGUCUCAUCUGUCUGAUAAUACCCUCUUGA